RNAcentral lists this long non-coding RNA (2831 nucleotides) under Medicago truncatula (barrel medic). RNAcentral's name for it is "long non-coding RNA (MTRU_LNC001912)". Lineage: Eukaryota; Viridiplantae; Streptophyta; Magnoliopsida; Fabales; Fabaceae. The record is from RNAcentral.
UUGGGCCCUAGUCCGAUGCACGGUAACAUAACAAGUUUAACUUCAGUAGCAGUAGUACUAUAUAUCAAUGUUUUAAAAACCGAACCUGUUGCGAAUUCGAUGAAAAAUCACACCAAUAACAAACUUGAUGUGGGGAGCAAGGGAUAGUCAAGCAACCAAAACAAAGUAUAUGGAACAAUUAUAAACACAAGCCAAAAGUAGAAAGCAACAGCGAGAGAAAAAGAAGAGAGAACACAAAAGAAUUUGUUGACCCAGUUCGGUCCAAAUUGACCUAGUCUGGGGGAGAGAGCAGCCCUCUGUUCCACUAUAUGAUGAGUAACGUUACAAAAGAGAUAUCAAUGGGUUACAAGAAUAAGUCUCCCGCCUAAUUCUACCCAAAGUCUCAGCCUCUUCCCGUAAUCAAGAGACUCAAUCCUAAUAGUGUUUUCCAAGGUGAAUCAACCCUCAAACCCUAGUGUUUGUUCCAAAGAGACAAACUCUAUACAAACUCUAGUUUUGUUGUUGUCAUUCUAAACCCUUGUUUCAGCCCCCUCUAUCUCAAAGUUUACUCUGAUACAAGGUCUAUAUUUAUAGUAAAAGUAUCGCUUAAAAUUUGAAACAAAUCUGCACUCAAAAUACGUUUCUGUUAUUUGCUGCCGGCGCACCAUCGUGCCACGAUUUUUCCAGUUCCUUGCCUCAAAACUGAAACCUCCAAUCGUGUCACGUUGCCCAACCAUCGUGCCACGAUUCUGUAGAAACUCUCACAAUUCUCUACCUUGACUUCAAAUCAGUGAAGAUGCCAAUCAUCAACCUCCUUGCUGCUCUUUCCCUUGCUUCCCACUACACCAAGUAGCUCCACAAGUUUACACCCUAUCCUCUUCAACCAUCGGAAUGCCUUCCGCCCUUUUGAAGAUCCUUGUGUCCAAACUACUCAAGGUAUUUUAGGUAGUUCCACAAGUGCACACCUUAACCCCUUCUGCCCUCGGAAUGUCUUCCGCCUUCUCGAAUGUCCUUGCAGUCCAACUACACUAGGAAUUUUAGGUAGUUCCACAAGCAUUCACCAUAACAUCUUCAACGCAGGACAUCUCCCGCUUCCUUGAAGGUUUCCUUGCAUCCAAUCACCCUUGGCCUUUUUUUAGGGUAAUCCCGCAAGCCGUGCUAUACAUUCUUCAACCUCCGGAAUGCCUUCCGUCUUCAUGAAGAAAUCCCUUGCUCACCAUAGAGCAUAGCACCCAAGGUCCUCCAUAGUCGUACCAUUACCGGUGUGUUCAACUCCACCUCACGCUGAGCGUAUUCUACCUCAACUAGCAAAUGUGUACAUCCCACUAUGUCUUCAACCUUGAAACUCCACCUCAACAGGUAGAUCAUGAGUAUUGUUGCCUCCGCCUCUCCAGACUGAUGUUGAGUGUUUAACGUCUCUCCAGACGACCACCACUCCACUAGGCAUCACUCCCAAGGUGAGACACAUCACCUUCUUCAUCCUCCAAACAACACCACACCAUUAGAGCACCCGCAUCCUCAAGAUGCAACUUAAUGUUCUCAAAAUCACCAAUGAUUUUGUUGAACUCCACAAGUAGCUCCACGACGACCUUUGACUUUACCAUCUUGAAUGAGUAAAGUUGUUGCUUUAGGACUUGCCGAUGAGCCAAAGACUUUGUCAUAUACAAAUAUUCGAACUUUGACCACAUUGAUGUCGCGGUUGUUUCCUUUGUUGCUUCUCUCAAAUCUUUAUUCCCGAGGCACAAGACAAUGGCACUCCUGGCCUUGUCCACCAUCUCGGUCUUCUCCGCUCGUGACAUGGUGACCGGUAACGAACUUUCACCCUUCAAAGUUUUCUCACACUUUUGCUGUAUUAACACCGCUUCCAUCUUUACCUUCCAUAACCUAAAAUCGUUAUCUCCGGUAAACUUCUCAAUAUCCCACUUUGAACCCAUGGUACUUGAUUAUCCUUUGACCCUUGCCCCACGGUGGGCGCCAAUUGUUGUGAAUUCGAUGAAAAAUCACACCAAUAACAAACUUGAUGUGUGGAGCAAGGGAUAAUCAAGCAACCAAAACAAAGUGUAUGGAACAAUUAUAAACACAAGCCAAAAGUAGAAAGCAACAGCGAGAGAAAAAGAAGAUAGAACACAAAAGAAUUUGUUGACCUAGUUCGGUUCAAAUUGACCUAGUCUGGGGGAGAGAGAAACCCUCCGUUCCACUAUAUGAUGAGUAACAUUACAAAAGAGAUAUCAAUGGGUUACAAGAAUAAGUCUCCCGCCUAAUUCUACCCAAAGUCCCAGCCUCUUCCCGUAACCAAGAGACUCAAUCCUAAUAGUGUUUCCCAAGGUGAAUCAACCCUCAAACCCUAAUGUUUGUUCCAAAGAGACAAACUCUAUACAAACCCUAGUUUUGUUGUUGCCAUUCUAAACCCUUGUUUCAGCCCCCUCUAUCUCAAAGUUUACUCUGAUACAAGGUCUAUAUUUAUAGUAAAAGUAUCGCUUAAAAUUUGGAACAAAUCUGCACUCAAAAUACGUUUUUGUUAUUCGCUGCCAGCGCACCAUCGUGCCACGAUGCGACCCCAUCGAGCCACGAUUUUUCCAGUGCCUUUCCUCAAAACUGAAACCUCCAAUCGUGCCACGUUGCCCAGCCAUCGUACCACGAUUCUAUAGAAAUUUGAUUUUAAGUUAACUCUCAUAGAACCAAACCAGACAUUCAACUUGUUGAACCAUGAACUACACCAUGUAUGGUUAGGGCCUUAGGAUAUUUGAUUUGUUCGAUUGUGGUUUUGUCCUGAUUCGAGCAGUUUAAAACAGCUGAACCAUGAUCUGGAGAUCUCGUUUGUUCGGUGCCUGGUUUGGCUAUUAGAAUAUCGU